GCANGGCAGAAUCCAAUUCUAUUCCUGCCACCGAAUACAUUCNNGCAUGGGAUAAUCGGAAUAGGACCCUGUCCUCCUAUUUCUCAGUCUGGUUUUUGGCAGCGCGAGGACUAGGGUAAUGAUUAAUAGGGAUAGUCGGGGGCAUUAAUAUUUAAUCGUCAGAGGUGAAAUUCUUGGAUUUAUGAAAGAUUAACUUCUGCGAAAGCAUCUGCCAAGGAUGUUUUCAUUAAUCAAGAACGAAAGUUAGGGGAUCGAAGACGAUCAGAUACCGUCGUAGUCUUAACCAUAAACGAUGCCGACCAGCGAUUAGGAGACGUUGAAUACAAAACACCACCAUCGGUUGCGGUCGUCCUUGGCGUCUCGGUUUCGGCCGGGGCGCGGGGAUGGUUUAGCCCGGUGGCACCGGUGAAUGACUCCCCUAGCCUUGGGGGGGAAAAAA
RNAcentral lists this ribosomal RNA (439 nucleotides) under Acanthamoeba polyphaga. RNAcentral describes it as "SSU rRNA". The stretch from base 1 to 369 matches the Rfam family "Eukaryotic small subunit ribosomal RNA", at positions 775 to 1116 of the family's 1831-position model. Lineage: Eukaryota; Discosea; Longamoebia; Acanthamoebidae. The record is from RNAcentral.